GUCUAAGUAUAAGCACUCAUACUGUGAAACUGCGAAUGGCUCAUUAAAUCAGUUAUCGUUUAUUUGAUAGUACCUUUACCUGGAUAACCGUGGUAAUUCUAGAGCUAAUACAUGCUAAAAAUCCCGACUUCGGAAGGGAUGUAUUUAUUAGAUAAAAAACCAAUGCCCUUCGGGGCUCCUUGGUGAUUCAUAAUAACUUAACGAAUCGCAUGGCCUUGCGCCGGCGAUGGUUCAUUCAAAUUUCUGCCCUAUCAACUUUCGAUGGUAGGAUAGUGGCCUACCAUGGUCUCAACGGGUAACGGGGAAUUAGGGUUCUAUUCCGGAGAGGGAGCCUGAGAAACGGCUACCACAUCCAAGGAAGGCAGCAGGCGCGCAAAUUACCCAAUCCCAAUUCGGGGAGGUAGUGACAAUAAAUACUGAUACAGGGCUCUUUUGGGUCUUGUAAUUGGAAUGAGUACAAUCUAAAUCCCUUAACGAGGAACAAUUGAGGCAGCU
This 495-nucleotide ribosomal RNA is filed under the name fungal sp. TRN160. Its description in RNAcentral is "SSU rRNA". It matches the Rfam family "Eukaryotic small subunit ribosomal RNA", at positions 57 to 561 of the family's 1831-position model. The record is from RNAcentral. Lineage: Eukaryota; Fungi.